Molecule: ribosomal RNA, 365 nt
Filed under: uncultured bacterium
Lineage: Bacteria
Description: bacterial SSU rRNA
Rfam family: Bacterial small subunit ribosomal RNA
Source: RNAcentral
GAACGGCAGCACGGGUGCUUGCACCUGGUGGCGAGUGGCGAACGGGUGAGUAAUACAUCGGAACAUGUCCAGUAGUGGGGGAUAGCCCGGCGAAAGCCGGAUUAAUACCGCAUACGAUCUUUGGAUGAAAGCGGGGGACCUUCGGGCCUCGCGCUAUUGGGGUGGCCGAUGGCGGAUUAGCUAGUUGGUGGGGUAAAGGCCUACCAAGGCGACGAUCCGUAGCUGGUCUGAGAGGACGACCAGCCACACUGGGACUGAGACACGGCCCAGACUCCUACGGGAGGCAGCAGUGGGGAAUUUUGGACAAUGGGGGCAACCCUGAUCCAGCAAUGCCGCGUGUGUGAAGAAGGCCUUCGGGUUGUAAA